RNAcentral lists this ribosomal RNA (222 nucleotides) under uncultured bacterium. RNAcentral describes it as "partial 16S ribosomal RNA". It matches the Rfam family "Bacterial small subunit ribosomal RNA", at positions 109 to 334 of the family's 1533-position model. The record is from RNAcentral.
AGUAAUAUAUCGGAACGUACCCUGGAGUGGGGGAUAACGUAGCGAAAGUUACGCUAAUACCGCAUACGAUCCAAGGAUGAAAGUGGGGGCUCGCAAGACCUCACGCUCGUGGAGCGGCCGAUAUCUGAUUAGCUAGUUGGUGGGGUAAAGGCCUACCAAGGCAUCGAUCAGUAGCUGGUCUGAGAGGACGACCAGCCACACUGGAACUGAGACACGGUCCAG